This 253-nucleotide ribosomal RNA is filed under the name uncultured bacterium. RNAcentral's name for it is "partial 16S ribosomal RNA". It matches the Rfam family "Bacterial small subunit ribosomal RNA", at positions 524 to 776 of the family's 1533-position model. The record is from RNAcentral.
UCCGAAGGGGGCUAUCGUUGUUCGGAAUCACUGGGCGUAAAGCGCACGUAGGCGGAUCUGUUAGUCAGGGGUGAAAUCCCGAGGCUCAACCUCGGAGCUGCCUCUGAUACUGCGGAUCUUGAGUGCGGUAGAGGUGAGUGGAAUUCCUAGUGUAGAGGUGAAAUUCGUAGAUAUUAGGAAGAACACCAGUGGCGAAGGCGGCUUUCUGGACCGUGACUGACGCUGAGGCGCGAAAGCGUGGGGAGAAAACAGG